GGGUUGUGAGGUUAAGCGACUAAGCGUACACGGUGGAUGCCCUGGCAGUCAGAGGCGAUGAAGGACGUGCUAAUCUGCGAUAAGCGUCGGUAAGGUGAUAUGAACCGUUAUAACCGGCGAUUUCCGAAUGGGGAAACCCAGUGUGUUUCGACACACUAUCAUUAACUGAAUCCAUAGGUUAAUGAGGCGAACCGGGGGAACUGAAACAUCUAAGUACCCCGAGGAAAAGAAAUCAACCGAGAUUCCCCCAGUAGCGGCGAGCGAACGGGGAGCAGCCCAGAGCCUGAAUCAGUGUGUGUGUUAGUGGAAGCGUCUGGAAAGGCGCGCGAUACAGGGUGACAGCCCCGUACACAAAAAUGCACAUACUGUGAGCUCGAUGAGUAGGGCGGGACACGUGGUAUCCUGUCUGAAUAUGGGGGGACCAUCCUCCAAGGCUAAAUACUCCUGACUGACCGAUAGUGAACCAGUACCGUGAGGGAAAGGCGAAAAGAACCCCGGCGAGGGGAGUGAAAAAGAACCUGAAACCGUGUACGUACAAGCAGUGGGAGCACGCUUCGGCGUGUGACUGCGUACCUUUUGUAUAAUGGGUCAGCGACUUAUAUUCUGUAGCAAGGUUAACCGAAUAGGGGAGCCGAAGGGAAACCGAGUCUUAACUGGGCGUUAAGUUGCAGGGUAUAGACCCGAAACCCGGUGAUCUAGCCAUGGGCAGGUUGAAGGUUGGGUAACACUAACUGGAGGACCGAACCGACUAAUGUUGAAAAAUUAGCGGAUGACUUGUGGCUGGGGGUGAAAGGCCAAUCAAACCGGGAGAUAGCUGGUUCUCCCCGAAAGCUAUUUAGGUAGCGCCUCGUGAAUUCAUCUCCGGGGGUAGAGCACUGUUUCGGCAAGGGGGUCAUCCCGACUUACCAACCCGAUGCAAACUGCGAAUACCGGAGAAUGUUAUCACGGGAGACACACGGCGGGUGCUAACGUCCGUCGUGAAGAGGGAAACAACCCAGACCGCCAGCUAAGGUCCCAAAGUCAUGGUUAAGUGGGAAACGAUGUGGGAAGGCCCAGACAGCCAGGAUGUUGGCUUAGAAGCAGCCAUCAUUUAAAGAAAGCGUAAUAGCUCACUGGUCGAGUCGGCCUGCGCGGAAGAUGUAACGGGGCUAAACCAUGCACCGAAGCUGCGGCAGCGACACUAUGUGUUGUUGGGUAGGGGAGCGUUCUGUAAGCCUGUGAAGGUGUGCUGUGAGGCAUGCUGGAGGUAUCAGAAGUGCGAAUGCUGACAUAAGUAACGAUAAAGCGGGUGAAAAGCCCGCUCGCCGGAAGACCAAGGGUUCCUGUCCAACGUUAAUCGGGGCAGGGUGAGUCGACCCCUAAGGCGAGGCCGAAAGGCGUAGUCGAUGGGAAACAGGUUAAUAUUCCUGUACUUGGUGUUACUGCGAAGGGGGGACGGAGAAGGCUAUGUUGGCCGGGCGACGGUUGUCCCGGUUUAAGCGUGUAGGCUGGUUUUCCAGGCAAAUCCGGAAAAUCAAGGCUGAGGCGUGAUGACGAGGCACUACGGUGCUGAAGCAACAAAUGCCCUGCUUCCAGGAAAAGCCUCUAAGCAUCAGGUAACAUUAAAUCGUACCCCAAACCGACACAGGUGGUCAGGUAGAGAAUACCAAGGCGCUUGAGAGAACUCGGGUGAAGGAACUAGGCAAAAUGGUGCCGUAACUUCGGGAGAAGGCACGCUGAUAUGUAGGUGAAGUCCCUCGCGGAUGGAGCUGAAAUCAGUCGAAGAUACCAGCUGGCUGCAACUGUUUAUUAAAAACACAGCACUGUGCAAACACGAAAGUGGACGUAUACGGUGUGACGCCUGCCCGGUGCCGGAAGGUUAAUUGAUGGGGUUAGCGGUAACGCGAAGCUCUUGAUCGAAGCCCCGGUAAACGGCGGCCGUAACUAUAACGGUCCUAAGGUAGCGAAAUUCCUUGUCGGGUAAGUUCCGACCUGCACGAAUGGCGUAAUGAUGGCCAGGCUGUCUCCACCCGAGACUCAGUGAAAUUGAACUCGCUGUGAAGAUGCAGUGUACCCGCGGCAAGACGGAAAGACCCCGUGAACCUUUACUAUAGCUUGACACUGAACAUUGAGCCUUGAUGUGUAGGAUAGGUGGGAGGCUUUGAAGUGUGGACGCCAGUCUGCAUGGAGCCGACCUUGAAAUACCACCCUUUAAUGUUUGAUGUUCUAACGUUGACCCGUAAUCCGGGUUGCGGACAGUGUCUGGUGGGUAGUUUGACUGGGGCGGUCUCCUCCUAAAGAGUAACGGAGGAGCACGAAGGUUGGCUAAUCCUGGUCGGACAUCAGGAGGUUAGUGCAAUGGCAUAAGCCAGCUUGACUGCGAGCGUGACGGCGCGAGCAGGUGCGAAAGCAGGUCAUAGUGAUCCGGUGGUUCUGAAUGGAAGGGCCAUCGCUCAACGGAUAAAAGGUACUCCGGGGAUAACAGGCUGAUACCGCCCAAGAGUUCAUAUCGACGGCGGUGUUUGGCACCUCGAUGUCGGCUCAUCACAUCCUGGGGCUGAAGUAGGUCCCAAGGGUAUGGCUGUUCGCCAUUUAAAGUGGUACGCGAGCUGGGUUUAGAACGUCGUGAGACAGUUCGGUCCCUAUCUGCCGUGGGCGCUGGAGAACUGAGGGGGGCUGCUCCUAGUACGAGAGGACCGGAGUGGACGCAUCACUGGUGUUCGGGUUGUCAUGCCAAUGGCACUGCCCGGUAGCUAAAUGCGGAAGAGAUAAGUGCUGAAAGCAUCUAAGCACGAAACUUGCCCCGAGAUGAGUUCUCCCUGACUCCUUGAGAGUCCUGAAGGAACGUUGAAGACGACGACGUU
This 2843-nucleotide ribosomal RNA is filed under the name Escherichia coli. RNAcentral's name for it is "partial 23S ribosomal RNA". It matches the Rfam family "Bacterial large subunit ribosomal RNA". Lineage: Bacteria; Pseudomonadati; Pseudomonadota; Gammaproteobacteria; Enterobacterales; Enterobacteriaceae. The record is from RNAcentral.